GAUGAACGCUGGCGGCGUGCCUAAUACAUGCAAGUCGAGCGAACAGAUGAGGAGCUUGCUCCUCUGACGUUAGCGGCGGACGGGUGAGUAACACGUGGAUAACCUACCUAUAAGACUGGGAUAACUUCGGGAAACCGGAGCUAAUACCGGAUAAUAUAUUGAACCGCAUGGUUCAUUAGUAAAAGACGGUUUUGCUGUACCUUUUGAUUGGUUCCGCCGCGCAUUAGUUAGUUGGUAAGGUAACGGGUUACCAAGGCAACGAUGCGUAGCCGACCGUGGAGGGUGGACGGCCACACUGGAACUGGAGCACGGGCCCGGCCCCUAAGGGAAGGCAGAGGUGGGAAACUUUCGGAAAUGGGGGAAGGCUUGACGGAGCACGGCGGGGGGGGGAAUGAGGGCUUCGGGUCCGUAAAACCUUGUAAUAGGGAAAGAACAAAUUGUAAAGUACUAUUGCCGGUUUGACGGUUACCAAAUAAGAAAGCACCGCUUACUACGUG
RNAcentral lists this ribosomal RNA (497 nucleotides) under uncultured bacterium. RNAcentral's name for it is "partial 16S ribosomal RNA". It matches the Rfam family "Bacterial small subunit ribosomal RNA", at positions 28 to 507 of the family's 1533-position model. The record is from RNAcentral.